This 345-nucleotide unclassified non-coding RNA is filed under the name soil metagenome. Its description in RNAcentral is "partial contains 5.8S ribosomal RNA, internal transcribed spacer 2, and large subunit ribosomal RNA". The stretch from base 1 to 121 matches the Rfam family "5.8S ribosomal RNA", at positions 35 to 154 of the family's 154-position model. The record is from RNAcentral.
GAUGAAGAACGUAGCGAAAUGCGAUAAGUAAUGCGAAUUGCAGAAUUUCCGUGAGUCAUCGAAUCUUUGAACGCACAUUGCGCCCACUGGUAUUCCGGUGGGCAUGCCUGUUCGAGCGUCAUUAUCCUCCCUCAAACCCCGGGUUUGGUGUUGGACCCAAGUUGUGUGAACAACUGGUCUCAAAGACAAUGACGGCGUCCGUGGGACCCUCGGUGCAACGAGCUUUUAGGAGCACGCAUCGAGUUGCAAGGAUCUUCCGGGCCGGUCUCCUUUACCAUUUUACAAGGUUGACCUCGGAUCAGGUAGGAAUACCCGCUGAACUUAAGCAUAUCAAUAAGCGGAGGA